CUGCCUGAACUCCUGUAAACCUCUUAUUGGAGCGGCACACCGAUGGCCCUGUAUGUUCGGGCGGAGGAAGAAAACGCUGCUAUGUGCUAUCUGAGAGAUCAGCACAAGGCCAAAGACUCCAAGAUACAGCUCAUGUCAACUACAACAGAGUUGAUAAGCAUGGCACACACCCCUUCCUGAGCCCUUGGCAGACGUCAGUAAUCUAUCAUUGUAGAUGAUCACUGCCAUGAUUGGGAACUCAGAGACCGCUCCAGGUCAGGGCUCCCAGGAGCCUCUACCCAACCUUCAGACCUGCCUGUCCUGCAGAAACUUUGCCAUCCUUGGCCCAGUUUCUCCGAUUAGUUGGGGACACCAUACUGAGAAUUUUUAACUAUAUUUCCUGCCCUUCAUCUUCCUACCCUGCCUCAGAUACCAGCUCUCCUGUCUUAAAGCCCCCUUUAUAUCUUUCACUCUGUGACUCUCCAUGGUACAAGAAGCCUCAAAGGUAAACUUGCCCAAGAGGCACCAGCACCAUCAGGUAAGUGAUUCAGGAUAUUUAACCACUGUUUCAGCCAGGCGUUGAUCCACCAGCAUGGCUGCUUGUCCAUCAACAACCUUGAAGACAGCACUGCCCAAGCGCAUGUUACCUUGGAGAACCACGGCAGCCAGCGAGGUGGCCUUUUCAGGCAGCAUGUGAAAGACACCCUGAUUUGUGUCCUUGAUAAAGACAGAAUCAUCUGGAAACCUGAAAGACCUUGUGAUUUAGCCCAACUGUUCCAUCCAGACUGACAGCCUUCAUGCUGACAAAGCCCAGAACAUUCCUGUCCCUGGACAUGGGGUCCUCCCUUGCAUCAUUAGGAGCCCCUGGCCAUCAUCCCUCCCUCACCUCCACCCUCUGGAAUCUCUGUAGCUGAGGGUUCUUCCCUUUGGCCCAAUACAGUAAAGCCCACCUAGAAUGGGAGUGAUUACGUGGAGGCUGGUGUGGUUGCUUCUUGGCACACAGGGCCGAGAGAGAUUCCUUCCACCUCUGCAGCCGGACAGAAAGGGUAGGUGUCUGCCAAAAUGUGCCUGGGAAUGUGCAUGUCUUGCAGCUGUUUCCCAGUGUAUGUCCCUUGGACCUUUUGCCCACACUCAAGUCCCUGGUUAGUUUAUUACAGCACUGACUUCAAGCACUCCUACCAGACCUCCUGAAUGGGAACCUUAAGCCAGGAAGACCAGGCCUAAUAUUUUUUUUUAACUGGGGGUUUGUAAACUUGAGGCUGAGGGAUUUUCUAUCAUUCUACUUGAAGAUCUAACCUUCCCUUGGCCUUGUUUCUUAAGAAUGAAGUCUUAAAAAUUCAGAACAUUGGCCUUUUUUUGCCAUCUUCAUAGUAGAAUUUCAGCAGAGAGAAAACAUAUCCAAUAUCACGGAGAUAUCUGAUAUAGAAAUAAACACUGGCCCAUGAAUCACUGAAGGCAAGGCUGAUUUUUGCUCACAGCCCUGGAGGACAAACACCUCAUGUGUUUUUUAUGUCAUUCAAUCCAGUCCACCUUGAUUGUUUCUAUGGAUGGGGGAGAAUCAAGAAGAGAUGAUACCAAAGAGGAGGCCUUCCGGAAUGUUUUCUCGCUUAGCCCCGGAAUGCACUCGGCACCACUGUGUGACUCAAGCACUUGGUCUCACUUGGCUCCUGGCCUUGGCAUCUGCUCAGCUCUUUCAUAAACUCAGCACACAGGAAGAAGGCCCCAGUGCCAGGUUAACCAGUCCUGCUCAACCGGAGGUUGUCUCCAUCAACACAGACUAAAACAGAGUUCAGCUUGGAAAACAAAGAAGCAAUGGUUCUGAAAGCACUGUGACUGCCUAUGGAUUGUACUUGCCACACGAUCAUGAGGACAGCGUCAGGCAGGAAUGAUGCAGCUCUGCUAGUGUGACUUGCUUAGCUGCAUGAAGCACUGAGUUUAACGAGGGAAAUUUCUUCCACAUUCUUUCCUACCCCUCAGGAUUAUGGGAGGCAGAACUAUACCACAUCAUAAGUGAAAAACACCUUGUAACCCAUGCACCACUCUGCAGAUGCCAGGGGUUAUGACAAUGAUCCUUCUGAGUCCCCCAUAAUGCCCAACCCCAUGCUGGACACAGAAGAGGUGCCCAGCGUAGACUGUGGCCUGAUGACUCUCAAAGUUGGCAGGCAGUUGGCGGACCAUCUUAAGUUCUGAAGAAGAAAGCUACACUGGCCUUGAUUCGUGGCUGGGGUCCCUUCUGAGAGCAGCCCCUCCCUAGAGGCACCACAGGGGUGGAGGGGAAGGGACAGCUGUGUUGGAGCCAGCACCUGCCAGCACCUUGGGCUGCGUUGCAAGCACAACCACGCAGCUGGAAGUAACUUUUGCUGUUCACCCUACGGAGAGGUUUCCUCACAUGGGCUGUGUGCAAAACAUUAAACUGCCUGCAAGUGGCUUAUUUACAGAGCUGCCUUCUUCCUGGGGCUGCUGACGGGCAGCCCCUCAGCCUCUCCACCCAGCACACCUCCCCUUCCUGACAGCAUCUGGAUGCGCUGGGUGUUGGCUCACCUGCCAGCUCUCCCACGCCUUGAAGACACAGCCCACCCGACACAGCAGGGAUGAAAUAAGAUUUCUGCUCGGCUCUCCGAAGUGCUGUCACACCCAGAGAGAAAAGUAGAUGGGCUGUUUCUUCUCGGCUGACGAGAAGUCAGUUUUGCAGGCGGACUUUUGACACAAGGAGGGUCGGGGCAUGAUUGCCUUUGAGUCUUCCUCGCAUCUAAUUGGAGGAAGAGAGAAAGAAGCCAGCUGCUGCUUUCAUGAUUAUUUAAACACUCUUCGACAGUCAGAAAUGCGUGUUGUUGUUUCUCCGCAAGUGAAAUGUGCCUGUCAGAGCGUUUUCCACCGGGCGCCACCCCCCAUGCAAAUUGGGGAGAAAAAAGAAAUUCAUUAGGCACAGGAAACCAUUUGGUGUCUAAAUGUAUUGUUUGCCUAUAGACAUCCAUAGUCUGGAAAAAAAGAAAUCCUAACAAGGGAUGUCAAACUGACAACACUUUUUCUAUUGUUCUCUCUGAAAAUAUCAUUUUUACCACGUCUACAAAGGCAAGUGGAGUCUGUCUUACCCGCGGUUUAAUAAGAGACAAGUGGUGUGGUGGUGCAGUCAUGGGUGUUCGUGAAAACCAUUUAGGAGGGAAUCAGCUUGUGAAAAAUUAAAAGAAUUCAUCAACUUGAAAUCAAUGUUUGUUCCCACCCUCUCUGCGGAAAGCCGGUUUGUGCUGAGGGCUGCGUCCUGUGUAGUAAUCUGUACGGCAGUUUAUGGUUUCUGCUUCAGGUACACUGUGCAGCACUCCCAGGGACCCUGUGAGCCAGGCAAGGGCAGUCCUCUUGCCCUCAUUCUUUUGCCCAGAAAGCUGGAUCCUGGGAAGGCGGGGACCGACUGUCACAGGCACCCUCCCAGGCGUUCACCUGCAAUGCAGACUCCUCGUCCUUUGAGGACUGAAGAAAACAUCUCCCCUUUUCUGUAGCAUUUCCUGUUUCCUUCUGCCCCCAAUUCCCCACCACCACCACCACUGCAGAAGAAAUUAAUAAUUCAUGUAACCAGUAUCCAUGAACAACCAUUGUGAGUAUCAGGAGAGGCAAUGGAGCAACGUCAAGGUCAUUGUGAGUCCUGGUCCAUCUAGUGAUACAGGACCCCUAACUCCUGGGGUCUCUGAGGGCUCGGGAAAUAGCCCUCCUCUGGCUUGACCAACUUCUAAACUUCUUGAGAAAUAAGAGUAUCUAGCAGACGGUGCCUAAAAUAUGUCACCUUUUAUUACCAAUAAAGGUGAAGUAGAAGGGUGCAGCUCUGUGGGAAAGCCAAAGGCACCUGCUCAUUAAUACCCAAAUUAGGCCAAGUGCCAUCCAAUGGCAAGCAAGGUGAGAAGGAGCACACAGGACCAACUUCCUGCCAAUAAGAAGGAGGGUAAGGUCUCUCUCUCUCUCCUUUACAAAUAAAAUAAAUAAUAAAAAUAAAAACAUCCUUCUACUCUAUAUAACAAAAUUAUUAUCAGAAGUAAUCAUGUGAUAAGCAGGCAUUAGCACUAUCCUCUUGGUUUGUUUUUAUAAAAGAAAGAACUAAAAAAUAAUAAUUUCAUUGUAAAGAUCAUUUAAAUGUGGGGAUAAAUACAUCACGUGUGGAUGAAAAUUCACACCUGCCAAACAAAUUUACAGUAGUCUCCCCUUAUCUGCAGUUUCACUUUCCAUGGUUUCAGCUGCCUGUAGACAACUGAGGCCUGGAAAUAUUAAUUUAAUGGAAAGUCCCAGAAAUAAACAAUUCACAAGUUUGCAAUAACUUUUAGUGCAGAAUAUUGAAGGAAUUUUUCUAUUUUAUUACUAGCGAUUGCUGUUCAUCUCUUACUGAUUUAUCAGUUAAUUUCACCGUAGGUAUACAUGUAAGUAUGCAUAGCAAAAAUCACAGUCUACGUAGGGUUCGGUAUUAGCCAUGGUCUUGGGCAUCCACUGGGGGUCUUGGGACGUGGCCCCCAUGGACAGGAGGGCUGUCAUAGCUCACAGUUUACCUUCUGUCGGCUGUUUUAUCUUGAAAUACAAGAAAAAGUCACCCCAGUCACAGAGUUGAAGUGACCCAAGUUCUGAUGUCUUUGCAGCCUUGGAGUGUGCACUGCUGACAGUCUACUGUCCACACCCAGAAAGGCAUGCAAGGCUGCAUAGGCUGGUGACACAAACUAAAGCCAGCUCCAACAAUUCCAAACUUACGAGGUGAAUCUGGGGGGUCAGAGGCCCACAGUGUAACUGGGAGUUCAGCAGGACACAAUGUUUAUUAAAGGAUAUCUAAUAAAAAUAUGCUAGCUUGGAGUUCAUGAAUCUAUUUUUUUUUUUUUUUUUGACAGGCAGAGUGGACAGUGAGAGAGAGAGACA
Oryctolagus cuniculus (rabbit) is the source of this 4863-nucleotide non-coding RNA. The record is from RefSeq and is a predicted model, not a curated record. Lineage: Eukaryota; Metazoa; Chordata; Mammalia; Lagomorpha; Leporidae.